AUCCGGCUCUCUCUAAGGCUGAGACACGACGUCGAGCUGCUACGGCAGUGAAGUCAUUGAUGCCAUGCUUCCAGGAAAAGCCUCUAAGCUUCAGAUAGUCAGGAAUCGUACCCCAAACCGACACAGGUGGUCGGGUAGAGAAUACCAAGGCGCUUGAGAGAACUCGGGUGAAGGAACUAGGCAAAAUGGUACCGUAACUUCGGGAGAAGGUACGCUCUUGAUGGUGAAGUCCCUCGCGGAUGGAGCUGACGAGAGUCGCAGAUACCAGGUGGCUGCAACUGU
This 282-nucleotide ribosomal RNA is filed under the name Vibrio cholerae. RNAcentral's name for it is "partial 23S ribosomal RNA". It matches the Rfam family "Bacterial large subunit ribosomal RNA", at positions 1540 to 1803 of the family's 2925-position model. Lineage: Bacteria; Pseudomonadati; Pseudomonadota; Gammaproteobacteria; Vibrionales; Vibrionaceae. The record is from RNAcentral.